CAAACAUGCUUUAUUCUAUACUGAGUAGCAUUAUUAAACGGCGACAUUUUGAACAUUUUUAUAUUUAGAGUGAGAGUGGAUACACAUUACACUGGCGCCGACAUUUUGAAAAUUUGAGGAAACAAAAACAUUCUCCAACGAGUUCUUCAGCUCGGGGAAUGAGAGAAUAGAUUCACCUUUGUGUCGCUUUUCAGAUCGUAUUUUAAUUCCUUUCCGGUACUUUAGUUUCUUUGAACUUCUCUGUUACUAAGCCUAUAUUGAAUUUUUAAAAUUAAGAAAUCGGUGAUUUUACUUGCAGGCGUGACUGAUUAAUGGAAUUAUUUUACUUUUAUUUAGAAUAUGGACGGCACUCCAGUACAGCAUGUGCAUGGUUGGCCUGUUGACAUUUUUAGGAACGCAUCUUGGUCUAUUAUACAGAGUAUUGUUGUACUGCUCCAAAGUGCUUGUUGACAGACUGAAACCACUUGCUUGCGGCUCAUAAGGUUCACUUCUUGAGAGCAGGCAGCUACAAAAUGGAAGGUCAACAAAUCCAGUAUACUUGAAAAGCAAGAAAGAAACACCAGAAAAUAUAAAAAGACAGAAGAACAAGGGAACUUAAAAAAAAAAAACUUUUAAGGAUAGGAAUUCAGGAUUUAUUUAGAAACUAAAUUUAUUUUGAGAAGAGCAGUGUUUGACAAAGCUCUGUUACUUUAAGAGAUAAUGUAUUAUCACAUUGGUUUUGUUAUUGUCGAGCCCGCUUGCGGAAGCGAAGACAUAGUUGUCUAAAUGUCUAUUCGGUGUAUGUGCGUGUGUGCGUCCGUCCGUAUUUGUUUGUCCGGACCAUAAUUUGGACAUGCAUGGAGCAAUCUUGUUUAUAUAUGGUAUGAAUGUUAACCUCAGUGAGACGGAGUGUCAUGCGCAAGCCCCAGGUUCCUGUCUCAAAGGUCAAGAUCACACUUACAGGUCAAAGGUCAAAUUCAAAAAUGACUGUCCGGAGCAUUUCUUCUUGAUGCAUGGAGGGAUUUUGAUGUAACUUGGCACAAUUGUUCACUAUCAUGAGAUGGAGUGUCUUGCGCAAGAACCAGGUCCCUAGGUCUAAGGUCAAGGUCACACUUAGAGGUCAAAGGAUACAAGAAUGACAACUUUGUCUGGAGCAUUUCUUCUUCAUGCAUGGAUGGACUUUGAUGUAACUUGGCACAAAUGUUCACCACCAUGAGACGGAGUGUCAUACGGAGUGUCUUGCGCAAGAACCAGGUCCCUAGGUCUAAGGUCAAGGUCACACUUAGAGGUCAAAGGAUACAAGAAUGACAACUUUGUCUGGAGCAUUUCUUCUUCAUGCAUGGAUGGACUUUGAUGUAACUUGGCACAAAUGUUCACCACCAUGAGACGGAGUGUCAUACGGAAGAACUAGGUCUAAGGUCAAGGUCACACUUAGAGGUCAAAAGUAGGAUACAAAAAUGACUUUGUCUGGAGCAUUUCUUUUUGAUGCAUGGAGGGAUUUUGAUGUAACUUGGCACAAUUGUUCAUCAUCAUGCGACGGAGUGUUAUGCAAAAGAUCCUAGAAUUACUUCCCUUUGUUGUUACUAUAAAUAGCUUACAUCUGUAACUUUUUUAUUACUGGUCAUAGGGAAAAAUAAAGACUACUUUUCUGUAGUACAACAUGCAUGUUACAUCCAAUUUUCAGGUGUAUUUUGACCUAUCUCUGCUGGUGCGGAUUUUUGUGUGGAUUUUUUUAUAUAUUUUUUAAAAAAAAAUUUUAAAUUUUUUUUUUAAAUUUUACGUUCCUUUGUUGUUACUGUAAAUAACUUAUAUUGUAACUUUUUGCAAUCUCUUUUAUUUGGCAUAAAUGUUUGCCUCAAUGAGACAAGGAGUGUCAUGCACAACUCCCAGUCCUUUAGACAGCUGGCGGGCUUGACAUAUUGCCCGUGGGUAUCUAGUUCUCGUAUUUUUCAUGAGAUUUUAAAGAGAAUAUUCUGUUAUACCCCCAUGUAGUAAGCUUGUUUGUCUUUCAGUCAGUAGGUUUUCAUGGCUUCCAGGUGAUAACUCAUGAAAAGCUUGACCGCUUUAAAUAUUUUUUGGUACAUAAUUACAGGUCAAGUUCGACUGGGGUCAGUAGGUCAAAGGUCAAGAUAACUUGCAAACGCUUUGGCCUGGGAUCAUAGCUUUUGUAACACAGGUGUAUCAUGAUAAAAUACAGGUUGUUUGAAUUUGAGGUCAAUAGAUCAGAGGUCAAGGUCACAGUGACCUUGAACAGUUGAGUCGUUUCCGAAUGAUAACUUGAGACCUUGAGCCUAGGAUGAUAAAGUUUGGUACACAGGUGUCACAUCAUGAAAUGCAGGUCAAGGUCACAAUAAGGCAAAACAGUGAAAUGUUUUUCAGAUUAUAACUUGAGAAUGCUUGAGCCUAGGAUCAUGAAAAUUGUUAGGGAGGUUGAUUAUGACCAGCAGGUGACCCCUAAUGAUGUUGAGGUCAGUAGGUCACAGGUCAAGGUCACACUGACCCGGUUCUUUAAAUGAUGCACGGAGGGGCACAUGGGGUCUUCCUCCACCAUUAAAACUGUAAAGUCGCCAUAUGACCUAUCCUGUGUCAGUGUGAUGUUAAGUUCAACAAAAUAAAUAACGGUUCUUUAAAACGGUUUUUGGACAAUAACUUCAGGAUCCUUGGGAUGAGAAACACAAAAUUUAGUACAAGGUUGGUCUUGACCAGCAGAUUACCUGUAUUGAUUUAGAGUUCCAAAGGUCAGGAUGACCCUGAACAUUUAAACCUUUUCCAUACAACAAUUUGAGAACACUUUGGCGGAGGAUCAUGAAACUAUAGAGAUUGAAUUUGAGGUCAUUAGGUCAUAGCUCAAGAAAAUGCUGCUUUGAUAUUGGCUUAGUUCUGUGAUAAGGCCAUAUUGUAGGGUAUAAUUCGUCACUCCUGUGACAACUCUAGCGUUUAGCUCACCUGAGCACAAAGUGCUCAAGGUGAGCUUUUGUGAUUGUCCUGUGUCCGUCCGUCGUCAACAGUUUGACUGUUAACACUCUAGAGGUCACAAUUUUGACCUAAUCUUUAUGAAACUUGGUCAGAAUGUUACCCUCAAUAAAAUCUUGGACACUUUUGAUAUUGGGUUAUCUUGGAUCAAAAACUAGGUCACCAAGUCAAAUCAAAGGAAAAGCUUGUUAACACCGUAGAGGUCACAUUUAAGGCUAUAUCUUCAUGAAACUUGGUCAGAAUGUUAAUCUUUAUAAUCUCAAGGUCCAGUUUGAAUCUGGGUUAUGUAGGGUCAAAAACUAGGUCACUAGGUCAGAUCAAAGGAAAAGCUAGUUUACACUCUAGAAGCCAAAUUUAUGACCAUAUCUUAAUCUUAAUGAAACUUUGUCAGAAUUUUAAUCUUGAUGAUCUAUAGGCCAAGUUAAAUCUAGUUCAGGUGGGAUUAAAAAUUAGGUCACUAGGUCAAAUCAAAGGAAAAGCUCGUUAACACUCCAGAGGCCACAUUUAUGACUGCAUCUUCAUGAAACUUCAUCAAAAUGUCUUGAUGAGGGUCAUGUGGGGUCAAAACUAGGUCACCAAGUCAAAUCAAAGGAAAAGCUAGUUAACUCUUUAGAGGCUACAUUUAUGAUCAUAUCUUGAUGUAACUUGGUCAGAAUGUUGAUCUUGAUGAUCUUUAUGUCAAUAUGUGAAGUGAGCGAUACAGGGCCAUCAUGGCCCCUCUUGUUUAUUUGUUCUUGUUGUAAGAGAAAUUGUACAUUUUAGAAUACAGAUUACAAGUCACAUUUUCUUUAUUUUGACAAUACUUAUUUCAAAGCCUGACAAAAGCAUCCAGUACUGUUAUUAAAAGUUGUUAUUCACAGUUCAGCUAUAUUUUAUGUAUGGAUAAAACAAGUUGUGUGAUCUGUGAUCAUUAUAAAUGUGUAUACAGAUAAAACUUAAACAUGUGAACAGUUUAUUCAAUAAAUAAAGUGUAAUGCUA
Long non-coding RNA from Mercenaria mercenaria, 3931 nucleotides. RefSeq lists it as uncharacterized. The transcript has 3 exons. Lineage: Eukaryota; Metazoa; Mollusca; Bivalvia; Venerida; Veneridae. The record is from RefSeq and is a predicted model, not a curated record.